Molecule: long non-coding RNA, 1521 nt
Filed under: Homo sapiens (human)
Lineage: Eukaryota; Metazoa; Chordata; Mammalia; Primates; Hominidae
Description: HSALNT0408971
Source: RNAcentral
ACACCAGCUAUCUCCUGCUCCCUGUCCUGCACUGCAAAGGAGGCCUUUUCAUCCUCUCUACUGCCUCCAAUUUUUCUCACGAGGAAUGUGAGAGGAAAACCUAGAGCUUGUUCCUGAAGCAUGGUGCUAAGUCCAUAUGCAGCAGAUGGAGCUCAUGAGAAAAGAGUUGCUCUUGUGAAGACCAAAGCUUGGUGAGGUGUCAGAUCCCCGGCGAUGGAAAGCAGUCAACUCAUGGGUAGUAAAAAGAAUGUAUUGACAACACUAUAGGUUUGAAAAGGAAAGUUUUAUUAGAUGGAAAGAACAGUGCAGAAGACCGCAGCAGAGGACCUCAGCAAGAGAGAACUAAAAAUGGUCAAUUACAAAGCACAACAUAAGACUGGAACAUUGGAGUUAAGUAGCAGAGAUCAAAAGAGGAGAUUGCAGAUGGAGGUGUUGUAUGUGACUGUUUUACAUGGAUUCUUCGCUCUGGUAGCAGAUGUUGAAGAAGCUCUAUGAAUGUCCUGUCUCUAUGUCCCAGUUUGUCAGUUUCAAAUACUCAUGUAUCUGAUUGUCAAUGCUGGAGAGCUGGGGCCAGGGCAGUAGUUGAUGAAUAUCACCUGACUGUCUCCUGCAGAAAAAGCAUUCCCAGAAGCACGGAGAAGUGAGGAGAAAAGGCAAUGCACCUGGAGCUGGAGACCAAGGCCCUGUUCUUACUGAUGGCCCUUGGAGCAGAUAUUUGAAUUGGAGAGAUAAAACCGUGGUUUUUGGGGUGUUAAUUUUGGUGGCUGAUGCAUUCUGUGAUUGAUUUGGCUAUUACAACUGGUAUUGAUUUUAAACACAUUAAUUGCAAAAUCUCAAUUGUGAUUUGAUUUCUGUAUUUACAAUACUAAAAACGAGGCUUUCGCCAGGAGAAGACAAUUGGCAGUACUCAGUUGGAAGUGCUUAAUUGUUAAUAUAUAUCAGCCGUGGUUCUUCAGCGUCGUCAGUGUUGCUCAGUCUUGCUCUUUGUGGCGACUACUGAAUGCUUGAAAAAUUCUCUCCUAUACUCCCACUCUGCACUGUAGAAGAGAAAGAGAGGAGAGUGGAAGAAAAAAGAGAGGGAGAGGAGAAAGAAAGAGAGGAGAGAGAAACAUGGGCAUGGAUGAUACAUAAGGUAGUUGUAAACUGUGAUCAGCUUUGAUAAUAACUAGAUAAAUUCUUUUAAUACAAAAAUAUAUAAGGCAUUUUGCCUUUUUUUCAAAUUUCAAAUAAAUGGAUUUGUAUAGAAUGUAGUCUGUUGCCCAGAGUUUUCAUUUAGCAUAAUGCAUUUGAGAUUUAUCCAUGUUGUUGUAUAUUCUUUUUAUUGCUGAGUAGUAUUCCAUUGUGUGGAUAUACCAGUUUGUUUAUCCAUUAACCUUUGAUGGAUAUUUGGGUUUUUUUCAAUAUGAGGCUCUUAUAAAUAAACCUUCUGUAAUCAGGUCUUUGUGUAGUCACACAGUUUGUUUGUUUGUUUGUUUUUUAAAAAGAUGUUAGUAUUGUAAUUGUGUUUAAUAAGAAACUGUU